RNAcentral lists this ribosomal RNA (745 nucleotides) under Acinetobacter radioresistens WC-A-157. RNAcentral describes it as "bacterial SSU rRNA". It matches the Rfam family "Bacterial small subunit ribosomal RNA", at positions 31 to 771 of the family's 1533-position model. The record is from RNAcentral. Lineage: Bacteria; Pseudomonadati; Pseudomonadota; Gammaproteobacteria; Moraxellales; Moraxellaceae.
GAACGCUGGCGGCAGGCUUAACACAUGCAAGUCGAGCGGAUGAAAGUAGCUUGCUACCGGAUUCAGCGGCGGACGGGUGAGUAAUGCUCAGGAAUCUGCCUAUUAGUGGGGGACAACGUUCCGAAAGGAGCGCUAAUACCGCAUACGUCCUACGGGAGAAAGCAGGGGACCUUCGGGCCUUGCGCUAAUAGAUGAGCCUAAGUCGGAUUAGCUAGUUGGUAGGGUAAAGGCCUACCAAGGCGACGAUCUGUAGCGGGUCUGAGAGGAUGAUCCGCCACACUGGGACUGAGACACGGCCCAGACUCCUACGGGAGGCAGCAGUGGGGAAUAUUGGACAAUGGGGGGAACCCUGAUCCAGCCAUGCCGCGUGUGUGAAGAAGGCCUUUUGGUUGUAAAGCACUUUAAGCGAGGAGGAGGCUACCUAGAUUAAUACUUUAGGAUAGUGGACGUUACUCGCAGAAUAAGCACCGGCUAACUCUGUGCCAGCAGCCGCGGUAAUACAGAGGGUGCGAGCGUUAAUCGGAUUUACUGGGCGUAAAGCGUGCGUAGGCGGCCAAUUAAGUCAAAUGUGAAAUCCCCGAGCUUAACUUGGGAAUUGCAUUCGAUACUGGUUGGCUAGAGUAUGGGAGAGGAUGGUAGAAUUCCAGGUGUAGCGGUGAAAUGCGUAGAGAUCUGGAGGAAUACCGAUGGCGAAAGCAGCCAUCUGGCCUAAUACUGACGCUGAGUACGAAAGCAUGGGGAGCAA